This 428-nucleotide ribosomal RNA is filed under the name uncultured bacterium. RNAcentral's name for it is "partial 16S ribosomal RNA". It matches the Rfam family "Bacterial small subunit ribosomal RNA", at positions 354 to 796 of the family's 1533-position model. The record is from RNAcentral.
GUGGGGAAUAUUGGGCAAUGGGCGAAAGCCUGACCCAGCAACGCCGCGUGAAGGAAGAAGGUUUUCGGAUUGUAAACUUCUGUCCUCAGGGAAGAAGGAAGUGACGGUACCUGAGGAGGAAGCCCCGGCUAACUACGUGCCAGCAGCCGCGGUAAUACGUAGGGGGCGAGCGUUGUCCGGAAUGACUGGGCGUAAAGGGCGCGUAGACGGCUGUCUAAGUCUGGAGUGAAAGUCCUGCUUUCAAGGUGGGAAUUGCUUUGGAGACUGGAUGGCUUGAGUGCGGAAGAGGUAAGUGGAAUUCCCAGUGUAGCGGUGAAAUGCGUAGAGAUUGGGAAGAACACCAGUGGCGAAGGCGACUUACUGGGCCGUAACUGACGUUGAUGCGCGAAAGCGUGGGGAGCGAACAGGAUUAGAUACCCCGGUAGUCC